Oncorhynchus tshawytscha (Chinook salmon) is the source of this 263-nucleotide long non-coding RNA. The record is from Ensembl. NCBI's taxonomy places the organism in Eukaryota, Metazoa, Chordata, Actinopteri, Salmoniformes, Salmonidae.
CAGACAUGACAGCUCUGCUUGUAGCUCCUAAGACAUGACAUCUCUGCUUGUAGCUCCUAAGACAUGAGACAUGACAGCUCUGCUUGUAGCUCCUAAGACAUGACAGACAUGAUAGCUCUGCUUGUAGCUCCUAUGAAACUUUGCAGUAUUGUGGUUUUUGUGUGUCAUUUCUAACAUUAUUAGUCCAGAGAGACGUCAGGGCGAGGAUCUCCUUCCAGAGAGACGUCAGGGCGAGGAUCUCCUUCCAGAGAGACGUCAGGGCG